RNAcentral lists this ribosomal RNA (649 nucleotides) under Glycomyces sp. EK-I73. RNAcentral's name for it is "bacterial SSU rRNA". It matches the Rfam family "Bacterial small subunit ribosomal RNA", at positions 39 to 694 of the family's 1533-position model. The record is from RNAcentral. Lineage: Bacteria; Bacillati; Actinomycetota; Actinomycetes; Glycomycetales; Glycomycetaceae.
GCUGUGAGUGCUUCCGAUGCAGUCGAACGGAAAGGCCGCUUGCGGGUCUCGAGUGGCGAACGGGUGAGUAACACGUGGGUAACCUGCCCCCAUCUCUGGGAUAACCGUUGGAAACGGCGGCUAAUACCGGAUACGACCUUGAUCCGCAUGGUUCGAGGUGGAAAGUUUUUGCGGUUGGGGAGGGACCCGCGGCCUAUCAGCUUGUUGGUGCGGUAGUGGCGCACCAAGGCUUUGACGGGUAGCCGGCCUGAGAGGGCGGUCGGUCAUAUUGGGACUGAGAUACGGCCCAGACUCCUACGGGAGGCAGCAGUGGGGAAUUUUGCACAAUGGGCGCAAGCCUGAUGCAGCGACGCCGCGUGAGGGAUGACGGCUUUCGGGUUGUAAACCUCUUUUAUCCACCACGAAGGCGGUGUAUUCGCACCGUUGACGGUAGUGGUUGAAUAAGCGCCGGCUAACUACGUGCCAGCAGCCGCGGUAAGACGUAGGGCGCGAGCGUUGUCCGGAUUUAUUGGGCGUAAAGGGCUCGUAGGCGGUUGAUUGCGUCCGCCGUGAAAGGCCUCGGCUUAACCGGGGUUUUGCGGUGGAUACGGGUCGACUUGAGGCAAUUAGGGGAGAUCGGAAUUCUACGUGUAGCGGUGAAAUGCGUAGA